UGGCACUGCUGAUCAUCCUGAGGUCUCUUCCAACACAAGCCAUUCUAUGAUUCUAUGAUUUUAUGUCAGACCUUACCUCGUCCCAGCACAGGGCACGUUUUGCAAACAUCCCACCAAAUAUCAGCCAUUCAAGAAUAUUUAUUCUUUGGUUAUUUUUCAUAAAGCUCCCCAUAUCUUGUGACACCAUGCUAGAAAGUGGGAAUUAAUGUGGCGUUGCUCAGCUUCUCUCCCUUUCAGCAAACACUGAUUGUUUUUUUGUGGUUUUCUCACGUCUUGGCAGGUUUAUUUCUCAUACAUGCUCAUGACUGACUUCAGUUCUGGUGAAGGAAGGUGGACUGACAGCCAGCCCCAGGGAAUGAGAGCAGACGAUGCAACAGCAAAGGCAAAUCCUUCUUCCUGCACAAUCCAGCUCUCCUCAACCCAGGAAGGAAUCCAAGUGGCUUUUUGUGCUUUUGCUGGCUGAGGUGGCAACAAUCACUGCUAUACAGGAUUCAAAUUGGGGGACAGCACCCACCAUGGGCUGUUGGUGCCUUGUGCAAGGCUGGAACCAGGGAGAUGCAAGCAAGAAGCAUCUUGAGGCACCAGGAAUUAUUGCCAGCUGUGAGGUGAAUGGUGCAGUCCCUGCUCAUGUGCACUUCAUGAUGGAAGGAACCAGUCUUGUGUGGAGAAGUAACUGGAAACUCACCCAGGGGAAAGGGCUGACAGUGCUAACAUUGCUCCUUGGCCCAAUUUCCAAGUCCGAUGUAGAAGUUACAUACCAGGAGCAGAAGGAGUGA
This 776-nucleotide long non-coding RNA is filed under the name Numida meleagris (helmeted guineafowl). Its description in RNAcentral is "lncRNA (ENSNMEG00000015265.1)". The record is from RNAcentral. Lineage: Eukaryota; Metazoa; Chordata; Aves; Galliformes; Numididae.